UUAUCAAAGAAUAAAUUUCAUUUCAGUAACAACGUGUUCGGAAAAAUUAUUUUGUAAACAUUUGUACACUGCAAACACUUGCCAUUCAAAUGCGGCCUGGCAAAACGAAAAUAAGCCAUCUGGUGCUCCAGUCCAUAAUCGUCAUGGGUGGCUCCGCACCCAAAAAGGUGAUCCUGAAGGCGGUGAGCACCACUGCCAGCACCCAGGUGAGGAAAGUAAUCGGCCCAGUUAACAAGGCCCUCAAUGAGUUAAUCAGGAAGAGUAAAAUCCGCAAACAGGAGGAUAACUACUACAUUAAUACGGCAAGCACUACAAGAAAGACAAAGUACAAGAGACCAUUGAGAGUUUCGUCCAGGGAACUAUUUGAAUUUUAUACCUAAGAGGGAUUGCUGAUUAUACGAAAUGCAGCAUUUCUUAUGUAAAUUUUGGAAUUUCCAUAUUUUAACAAAUUUUAGUACUGCAUGAUUUUGUGGCCUCGCACCAAAUUGAAUACUUUUUGUUGCCACUUUUACAGCCUGAAAUGCUAAAACUGAAUAUUUCAAGAAAUUCGGCUGUGUUAUAUAUUUAUGCAUUUAUUUGAUUGCAAAAACGUAAAUUUAUAAGUGAUUGUCCUUUCAGGCUUCCAACUACUUUCGUACGAAAAAUAAAUUAAUAAUUAAAUGCAAA
This 666-nucleotide small RNA is filed under the name Drosophila yakuba. RNAcentral's name for it is "GE17349". The record is from RNAcentral. Lineage: Eukaryota; Metazoa; Arthropoda; Insecta; Diptera; Drosophilidae.